CUUUACUAUAGCUUGACACUGAACAUUGAGCCUUGAUGUGUAGGAUAGGUGGGAGGCUUUGAAGCGUGGACGCCAGUCUGCGUGGAGCCGACCUUGAAAUACCACCCUUUAAUGUUUGAUGUUCUAACGUGGACCCGUGAUCCGGGUUGCGGACAGUGUCUGGUGGGUAGUUUGACUGGGGCGGUCUCCUCCUAAAGAGUAACGGAGGAGCACGAAGGUUGGCUAAUCCUGGUCGGACAUCAGGAGGUUAGUGCAAUGGCAUAAGCCAGCUUGACUGCGAGCGUGACGGCGCGAGCAGGUGCGAAAGCAGGUCAUAGUGAUCCGGUGGUUCUGAAUGGAAGGGCCAUCGCUCAACGGAUAAAAGGUACUCCGGGGAUAACAGGCUGAUACCGCCCAAGAGUUCAUAUCGACGGCGGUGUUUGGCACCUCGAUGUCGGCUCAUCACAUCCUGGGGCUGAAGUAGGUCCCAAGGGUAUGGCUGUUCGCCAUUUAAAGUGGUACGCGAGCUGGGUUUAGAACGUCGUGAGACAGUUCGGUCCCUAUCUGCCGUGGGCGCUGGAGAACUGAGGGGGGCUGCUCCUAGUACGAGAGGACCGGAGUGGACGCAUCACUGGUGUUCGGGUUGUCAUGCCAAUGGCACUGCCCGGUAGCUAAAUGCGGAAGAGAUAAGUGCUGAAAGCAUCUAAGCACGAAACUUGCCCCGA
Molecule: ribosomal RNA, 704 nt
Filed under: Salmonella enterica subsp. enterica serovar Haifa
Lineage: Bacteria; Pseudomonadati; Pseudomonadota; Gammaproteobacteria; Enterobacterales; Enterobacteriaceae
Description: partial 23S ribosomal RNA
Rfam family: Bacterial large subunit ribosomal RNA
Source: RNAcentral